CCCAAUCGGUAAGGACCUUCGCCCAUAUAGUGUCCUUCCAUAUAGAAAGCUGCGUUCUGUGGAUGAAUUCCAUCCAUUACCAUGAAUUGCAUAUCUUCAGACGAUUUCCAGUGUCGUUUCCUCUGGUUGAUGAACCAGUUAUUAAUUUGUUUUUUGGUCCAAACCAGUUGAUUCUGCCAAGGCCACCUUCUCGGUCUCCGAAGGAUAAGGCCAUUUGUAGUGCAACUCCCACCAAUUGAGUAGCUUUGGCCGAGCUUCUUUGGGUGGUUCUUCAGUUCCCGAUCUUCAGCGCGUGGAUCAAUCUCUGGCAGUUCUGUUUCUCCACCACUGUUGUCUUGAUCCUCCUCUUCAGAUGAACCAUCGCCCUCGCACUUCUCCUCAGAGUUAAAGAUCCGGACGGGGCCAUUGUUAAGCAAGUUGAGUUGUGCUUCGGUCUUUACACGCACAAACCCAUUUUUAAUAUAUUCACAUCACUAUCCUAGCCCACAGGUUCCGAAACCCCCCAUUGGAUUUCUUUUAUUUUAUUUUAAUAUAUUACCAACACACUUGCACUAUACCAACCCAUUUCUUCUCAUUCUCAUUAUUUUUUAUUAUUAUCACAUGGGCGUGUUCCCCCUCUUUCAAAAAAAAAAAA
Molecule: non-coding RNA, 634 nt
Organism: Camellia sinensis
Lineage: Eukaryota; Viridiplantae; Streptophyta; Magnoliopsida; Ericales; Theaceae
Source: RefSeq, a predicted model, not a curated record